AACGAUAUAGUGGCAGACGGGUGAGUAACGCGUGGGAACGUGCCUUUCACUACGGAAUAGCUCUUGGAAACGAGUGGUAAUACCGUAUACGCCCUCCGGGGGAAAGAUUUAUCGGUGAAAGAUCGGCCCGCGUUAGAUUAGCUAGAUGGUGGGGUAAUGGCCUACCAUGGCGACGAUCUAUAGCUGGUCUGAGAGGAUGAUCAGCCACACUGGGACUGAGACACGGCCCAGACUCCUACGGGAGGCAGCAGUGGGGAAUCUUGCACAAUGGGCGAAAGCCUGAUGCAGCCAUGCCGCGUGAAUGAUGAAGGCCUUAGGGUUGUAAAAUUCUUUCAACGGUGACGAUAAUGACGGUAGCCGUAGAAGAAGCCCCGGCUAACUUCGUGCCAGCAGCCGCGGUAAUACGAAGGGGGCUAGCGUUGUUCGGAAUUACUGGGCGUAAAGCGCGCGUAGGCGGACUAUUAAGCCAGAUGUGAAAUCCCGGGGCUCAACCUCGGAACUGCAUUUGGAACUGGUAGUCUAGAGGUCAGGAGAGGUUCGUGGAAUGCCGAGUGUAGAGGUGAAAUUCGUAGAUAUUCGGUGGAACACCAGUGGCGAAGGCGACGAACUGGACUGAUACUGACGCUGAGGUGCGAAAGUGUGGGGAGCAAACAGGAUUAGAUACCCUGGUAGUCCACACCGUAAACGAUGAGAGCUAGUUGUCGGCAGGCA
RNAcentral lists this ribosomal RNA (711 nucleotides) under uncultured Hyphomonas sp. RNAcentral describes it as "bacterial SSU rRNA". It matches the Rfam family "Bacterial small subunit ribosomal RNA", at positions 86 to 832 of the family's 1533-position model. Lineage: Bacteria; Pseudomonadati; Pseudomonadota; Alphaproteobacteria; Hyphomonadales; Hyphomonadaceae. The record is from RNAcentral.